GGAGUCGGCUAGACAGUCGCUGUGCCGCAAGGCACAGAGGAAAGUCCGGGCUCCAAUGGGCAGAGUGCCAGGUAACGCCUGGGCGGCGCAAGCCGACGGAAAGUGCCACAGAAAAUAUACCGCCUACGUUCGCAAGAACCGGUAAGGGUGAAAUGGUGCGGUAAGAGCGCACCGCGUCGCUGGCAACAGCGGCGGCACGGCAAACCCCACUCGGAGCAAGACCAAAUAGGGGAACAUUGGCGUGGCCCGCGCCGUUCCCGGGUAGGUUGCUAGAGGCGCAUGGCGAUGUGCGUCCCAGAGGAAUGACUGUCCACGACAGAACCCGGCUUAUCGGCCGGCUCCCAUU
This 346-nucleotide RNase P RNA is filed under the name Candidatus Muproteobacteria bacterium RBG_16_64_11. Its description in RNAcentral is "RNase P RNA component class A". It matches the Rfam family "Bacterial RNase P class A". From Rfam's summary of the family: Ribonuclease P (RNase P) is a ubiquitous endoribonuclease, found in archaea, bacteria and eukarya as well as chloroplasts and mitochondria. Its best characterised activity is the generation of mature 5'-ends of tRNAs by cleaving the 5'-leader elements of precursor-tRNAs. Cellular RNase Ps are ribonucleoproteins. The record is from RNAcentral. Lineage: Bacteria; Pseudomonadati; Pseudomonadota; Candidatus Muproteobacteria.